UAUGCUUGUCUCAAAGAUUUAAGCCAUGUAAGUAAUCACUCCAAUCUUUGAUUAUACAAAUUCUUGCCGAACAAUACACUAACAUAUUAUUCAUAGGCAUGUCUAAGUAUAAGCAAUCAUACUGUGAAACUGCGAAUGGCUCAUUAAAUCAGUUAUCGUUUAUUUGAUAGUACCUUUACCUGGAUAACCGUGGUAAUUCUAGAGCUAAUACAUGCUAAAAACCCCGACUCACGAAGGGGUGUAUUUAUUAGAUAAAAAACCAAUGCCCUUCGGGGCUCUUUGGUGAUUCAUAAUAACUUAACGAAUCGCAUGGCCUUGCGCCGGCGAUGGUUCAUUCAAAUUUCUGCCCUAUCAACUUUCGAUGGUAUGGUAUUGGCAUACCAUGGUCUCAACGGGUGACGGGGAAUUAGGGUUCGGUUCCGGAGAGGGAGCCUGAGAAACGUACGUCUUUAACCCCUCCUACAUAAUCUUUGAAACUUUUAACUAACAUUCUUUUUCAGGGCUACCACAUCCAAGGAAGGCAGCAGGCGCGCAAAUUACCCAAUGCUAAUUCAGCGAGGUAGUGACAAUAAAUACUGAUACGGGGCUCUUUCGGGUCUCGUAAUUGGAAUGAGUACAAUCUAAAUCCCUUAACGAGGAACAAUUGGAGGGCAAGUCUGGUGGAACGCAGUGUCCCAAAAAGUAUGCUGACGCCAGAGAGAGUGUUACGCUAUAAUGUUAAAGCUGUAUCACUAGUCGAUCAUCCCAUCCGCUGGUAGGGGGGAUAGCGGCAAGACAACCUGGAUCGGAAGAGGCUAAGGGAGAAAUCCUAUGUUAAUUCCGAGCCGAGCGCCCCUAGAGUGAUCUUGGGAACGCCGGUGUAGAGCGCGGUAAGGUGUCGGUGGGACUUGGGGUAAUACCCAAGCCUGCUUAAGGUACGUGCCAGCCCCAGCCGAAAGGCUGCCAAUAACUGGAAUGCCUACCACAUAAAGGUUAUUGGAAUGUUCCCUGAGAAAUGGGGAUUAUUGGAGAUCGAAAAUACAGCCUUGUAUUCGAUGACGAGAGCCGGGGCGGCAAUGCUUGCCUGCCCCGGCUCAUUCCUGGGGGUUUCGAAACUUUCAGAGGGUGGCCGACUAUAUUUUGUAUUUUCCGAUCACGCUGGCCAGCAGCCGCGGUAAUUCCAGCUCCAAUAGCGUAUAUUAAAGUUGUUGCCGUUAAAAAGCUCGUAGUUGAACCUUGGAUCUGGCUGAUCUGUCCUCCUAAUCGAGCGCACGGAUUCGGUCGGAUCUUUCCUUCUGGGGAGCCCUAUGCCCUUCACUGGGUGUAGUGGGGAACCAGGACUUUUACCUUGAAAAAAUUAGAGUGUUCAAAGCAGGCCUUUGCUCGAAUACAUUAGCAUGGAAUAAUAGAAUAGGACAUCGGUUCUAUUUUGUUGGUUUCUAGGACCGCUGUAAUGAUUAAUAGGGAUAGUCGGGGGCGUCAGUAUUCAAUUGUCAGAGGUGAAAUUCUUGGAUUUAUUGAAGACUAACUACUGCGAAAGCAUUCGCCAAGGAUGUUUUCAUUAAUCAGUGAACGAAAGUUAGGGGAUCGAAGACGAUCAGAUACCGUCGUAGUCUUAACCAUAAACUAUGCCGACUAGGGAUCGGACGGUGGUUUUUUAUGCCCCGUUCGGCACCUUACGAGAAAUCAAAGU
RNAcentral lists this ribosomal RNA (1672 nucleotides) under Capronia parasitica. Its description in RNAcentral is "SSU rRNA". It matches the Rfam family "Eukaryotic small subunit ribosomal RNA", at positions 27 to 1104 of the family's 1831-position model. The record is from RNAcentral. Lineage: Eukaryota; Fungi; Ascomycota; Eurotiomycetes; Chaetothyriales; Herpotrichiellaceae.